UACAGAGGGGGCAAGCGUUAUUCGGAAUUAUUGGGCGUAAAGGGCGCGUAGGCGGCUUUUCAAGUGACGGGUGAAAUCCCUCGGCUUAACCGAGGAACUGCCUGUCAGACUGGAAGGCUUGAGACCGGGAGAGGUGAGUGGAAUUCCCAGUGUAGCGGUGAAAUGCGUAGAUAUUGGGAGGAACACCAGUGGCGAAGGCGGCUCACUGGCCCGAUACUGACGCUGAGGCACGAAAGCGUGGGGAGCAAACAGG
RNAcentral lists this ribosomal RNA (253 nucleotides) under uncultured bacterium. RNAcentral describes it as "partial 16S ribosomal RNA". It matches the Rfam family "Bacterial small subunit ribosomal RNA", at positions 524 to 776 of the family's 1533-position model. The record is from RNAcentral.